Molecule: long non-coding RNA, 791 nt
Organism: Coffea arabica (coffee)
Lineage: Eukaryota; Viridiplantae; Streptophyta; Magnoliopsida; Gentianales; Rubiaceae
Source: RefSeq, a predicted model, not a curated record
AUUAGUUACAGCUUUCUCGUUCGUCUUCGUAUGUAGUUUUAGUUUUAUAUAUAUUCAGAACUCAGAAGCUCCUCCAUCAGUCUGCAGCUCAUAUCCUCAGUGUUAUGUCACUCCAAAUUUCCAACAUCACCUGAAAGUCUAGCUCCACAUUUGUGCUUCCAUCCAAAAUACACCGCCCACGUUGCAUUCGCCGCUUCUACGCUUCGCUUUUCCCAGCUGCAAUCGCCGGUCCCGCCACUGCAUUCUCAGUUGCCACCGCCGUCACCGUAGCUUCCAGUUAAAUCUAUGGAUUGUGCUUCAGACCAAAAAGAAGAAGAAGAAUUAUAUUGGGAAAAAAAACCAGGUCUUUGAUGCAAGACUUCAGUAUUUCCCUUUUAGCUGCCUCUCCACUCUCUUCAGAGAUGACCCCGAACUUGAUAGAACGCUCAAGGAAAGAGUUAGAUGGGGUGAUCCUAUGGCACAUUUGGUCAAGGGUUUGAGAAACAAAUGUUCAAUAGAAUGAAUGAGAAACAAGCUACAGAGAGGGAGGCGUGUUUGUGCUCUGCGUCAGAUAUGCGAGGAGUAGUAACCAGUAGCAUACGACACCUGACGGGUUGAAACUACAGAAAAGACGAGGACAAGGGAUUUAUCGGUGGAAAACCAACAGAGGAUUGACUGGAAAGGCAAUCAACGGCACGAAUGAGAUUAGACCUGGGGAAUGGCAACUUUGUCUUGUAUCCUAUUCAUGCUAUUGCAGCUCUCUACUGCAGAAUUUUUAUUCAAUGCUAAUACUACUUUUUCUUUUUCUUUGA